CAAUAACAUGUAGCAUGGGAUAAUGGAAUAGGACCCUGUCCUCCUAUUUUCAGUUGGUUUUGGCAGCGCGAGGACUAGGGUAAUGAUUAAUAGGGAUAGUUGGGGGCAUUAAUAUUUAAUUGUCAGAGGUGAAAUUCUUGGAUUUAUGAAAGAUUAACUUCUGCGAAAGCAUCUGCCAAGUAUGUUUUCAUUAAUCAAGAACGAAAGUUAGGGGAUCGAAGACGAUCAGAUACCGUCGUAGUCUUAACCAUAAACGAUGCCGACCAGCGAUUAGGAGACGUUGAAUACAAAACACCACCAUCGGCGCGGUCGUCCUUGGCGUCUCGCGUUCGCGCGCGGCGCGAGGGCGGCUUACCCCGGUGGCACCGGUGAAUGACUCCCCUAGCAGCUUGUGA
Molecule: ribosomal RNA, 395 nt
Filed under: Acanthamoeba sp. Cerrado FPD-2014
Lineage: Eukaryota; Discosea; Longamoebia; Acanthamoebidae
Description: SSU rRNA
Rfam family: Eukaryotic small subunit ribosomal RNA
Source: RNAcentral